CCCUUAGAUGUUCUGGGCCGCACGCGCGCUACAAUGAUGAAUUCAACGAGUUUAUAACCUUGGUUGAAAAGCCUGGGUAAUCUUUUGAACUUUCGUCGUGAUGGGGCUAGACCCUUGCAAUUAUUGGUCUCCAACGAGGAAUUCCUAGUAAACGCAAGUCAUCAGCUUGCAUUGAUUACGUCCCUGCCCUUUGUACACACCGCCCGUCGCACCUACCGAUUGAAUGGUCCGGUGAAAUCUUCGGACCGGGCGAUGGUCAGCAAUGGCCGCUGCCUGGAAAGUCGCUUAAACCUUACCAUUUAGAGGAAGGUGAAGUCGUAACA
This 323-nucleotide ribosomal RNA is filed under the name uncultured eukaryote. RNAcentral's name for it is "partial 18S ribosomal RNA". It matches the Rfam family "Eukaryotic small subunit ribosomal RNA", at positions 1470 to 1796 of the family's 1831-position model. The record is from RNAcentral.